This 416-nucleotide ribosomal RNA is filed under the name Pseudomonas sp. enrichment culture. RNAcentral describes it as "bacterial SSU rRNA". It matches the Rfam family "Bacterial small subunit ribosomal RNA", at positions 349 to 760 of the family's 1533-position model. Lineage: Bacteria; Pseudomonadati; Pseudomonadota; Gammaproteobacteria; Pseudomonadales; Pseudomonadaceae. The record is from RNAcentral.
CAGCAGUGGGGAAUAUUGGACAAUGGGCGAAAGCCUGAUCCAGCCAUGCCGCGUGUGUGAAGAAGGUCUUCGGAUUGUAAAGCACUUUAAGUUGGGAGGAAGGGCAGUANCUUAAUACUUUASUGYUUUGACGUUACCGACAGAAUAAGCACCGGCUAACUCUGUGCCAGCAGCCGCGGUAAUACAGAGGGUGCAAGCGUUAAUCGGAAUUACUGGGCGUAAAGCGCGCGUAGGUGGUUUGUUAAGUUGGAUGUGAAAUCCCCGGGCUCAACCUGGGAACUGCAUUCAAAACUGACAARCUAGAGUAUGGUAGAGGGUGGUGGAAUUUCCUGUGUAGCGGUGAAAUGCGUAGAUAUAGGAAGGAACACCAGUGGCGAAGGCGACCACCUGACNUAAACUGACACUGAGGUCGAAGC